CUAUUCCUUGUAUUUGUGAGAGAGCUAUUGGGGUAUUUGGGAUUGGAUGUGUGUGAGAAGAUUGAUACACCAACUUGUAUAUCUCCAUAUUUGAUUAGUGGAAUUUCUUCGUCGUUGCCUGUGGAUGUAGGCCAAAAGCCGAACCACGUAAAUCCUUGGUAUUCUUUUGUUUGUGUGUGUAUUUAUUUUCAGAGUUUGGGUUUGCUUCAUUCCUAUUGUUUAUUUCUUGGAGAUCUUUCUAUAAUCAUAAUGUUUUCACAAUCAAUAUUGAGGUGGGAGUGCUAUUCGGAGGUGCUUUCCUACUACAACAACUUGUUUUCCCCUCCAAUCAGGAAUGGCAGCUUAUUUUGAAGGUAGCAGCUUAGAGCAACCGCACCUAGCAUUGUAAAUGCCAUAUGUAAAGGUGGGAGAAGCAAUUUUCAAGGCUAUGCAAAUGGGAUACAACGUGAUUUUGGUUCUAAGCAACAAUACCAGGCUUGUGCAGAUUUGCAACCAAGGGAAGGAUCUAACUUGGACAAAGCAGAAUUUGGUGGCAGACUUGACUCAUCUUCAACAACUGGGGUUGACCACUCACUACUUGUUUGUUCCCAAGGAUAUUAUCUCACAUGUAAUAGACUUAGUUGCUAUAACUACUUGCUUUCCUAUUA
Long non-coding RNA from Quercus robur (English oak), 647 nucleotides. RefSeq lists it as uncharacterized. The transcript has 2 exons. NCBI's taxonomy places the organism in Eukaryota, Viridiplantae, Streptophyta, Magnoliopsida, Fagales, Fagaceae. The record is from RefSeq and is a predicted model, not a curated record.